Long non-coding RNA from Propithecus coquereli (Coquerel's sifaka), 538 nucleotides. RefSeq lists it as uncharacterized. Lineage: Eukaryota; Metazoa; Chordata; Mammalia; Primates; Indriidae. The record is from RefSeq and is a predicted model, not a curated record. The transcript is spliced from 3 exons.
CGACUCGCCGCAGGGUUGGCGGACUUGAGAAGGAGCGAAGAUGGCGGAGUGAGGCGUACCGCUACUGACUGGCCUUUGGGCCGGGGGCGGGUCGGCCCCCGGGAGGCCGAGUGCAUCUGGCGGACCGUGGGAGGUGAGCCGAGAAGGCCGGCGACGGAAGGAUGAACAGGCGGUGAGGAGGUUGCUUAUCACAGGAAGAACAUUUUCCUUGACCUUUAGGUGCUUUUAUAUUCAUCUCAAAAACAAAAUGCUGAACUCAGGACUUGGAAAGUAUCUCUAAGUUGUCUCCUAGAGCGAGUAGUCCUGCUUCUUUUAUCCAGCCACUUUAUUCUUGAAAUGUGGAUAUCUCUUCUCUACACAGUACCUCCAUGAUUUGGAAUGGAAAAGACCAGGGUUUUUUUUUUGUUCCACCUCUCAGAUUCAACACAGAGAAGCCCUUAAGAUGCGGUUAUCCUGCCUACUUCUCCAGGAAGAGAGAAGCAACUGACAUGGGUCUUCUGCUGCUGUUUGCUUAAUUAUAAAGAAUUAUUUUACAAGC